AGCUUUGCGCAGUGACAUUACCGUAGCUGAUGAUGUCCAUCCGAGGCGCGGUUAUUGCUGAUUGAAAACUUUUCCCAAUACCCCGCGAGACGACUUGAAACAUAGUCGGCUUUGCAAUUUUUGUGGGCUCUGCUUAGGG
Molecule: small nuclear RNA, 139 nt
Filed under: Nematostella vectensis (starlet sea anemone)
Lineage: Eukaryota; Metazoa; Cnidaria; Anthozoa; Actiniaria; Edwardsiidae
Description: U4 spliceosomal RNA
Rfam family: U4 spliceosomal RNA
About the family: U4 small nuclear RNA (U4 snRNA) is a component of the major U2-dependent spliceosome.
Source: Rfam by way of RNAcentral